RNAcentral lists this small RNA (171 nucleotides) under Liquorilactobacillus ghanensis. RNAcentral's name for it is "Lactobacillus ghanensis Magnesium sequence". It matches the Rfam family "M-box riboswitch aptamer (ykoK leader)". Rfam says of the family: M-box riboswitch, also know as ykoK leader is described as a metaloregulatory RNA that sense divalent metals and function as a genetic control element of genes related to divalent metal transport in bacteria. Lineage: Bacteria; Bacillati; Bacillota; Bacilli; Lactobacillales; Lactobacillaceae. RNAcentral also lists the same sequence under 1 other name. The record is from RNAcentral.
AAGUAGAUUUGUUAGGUGAGGCUCCUAUAUAAACAUAGGCUGCUGCCAAAAAAACGUCGAGAGACACCAAUUGGUAGAACAGGGAUUGUCGAUACAAGGCUUUCUUUAAAGCAGCUAAAAGAUAUUCUUUUUACGUUAUAUAGUGCCAAAACUCAACGAAUAAAUCGUUAA